RNAcentral lists this ribosomal RNA (450 nucleotides) under uncultured bacterium. RNAcentral's name for it is "partial 16S ribosomal RNA". It matches the Rfam family "Bacterial small subunit ribosomal RNA", at positions 354 to 796 of the family's 1533-position model. The record is from RNAcentral.
GUGGGGAAUUUUGGACAAUGGGGGCAACCCUGAUCCAGCCAUUCCGCGUGAGUGAAGAAGGCCUUCGGGUUGUAAAGCUCUUUCGUCAGGAACGAAACGGCGGGCUCUAACAUAGCCUGUUAAUGACGGUACCUGAAGAAGAAGCACCGGCUAACUACGUGCCAGCAGCCGCGGUAAUACGUAGGGUGCGAGCGUUAAUCGGAAUUACUGGGCGUAAAGCGUGCGCAGGCGGAUUGUUAAGCAAGACGUGAAAUCCCCGGGCUUAACCUGGGAAUGGCGUUUUGAACUGGCAGUCUAGAGUGCGUCAGAGGGGGGUGGAAUUCCACGUGUAGCAGUGAAAUGCGUAGAGAUGUGGAGGAACACCGAUGGCGAAGGCAGCCCCCUGGGAUGACACUGACGCUCAUGUACGAAAGCGUGGGUAGCAAACAGGAUUAGAUACCCCUGUAGUCC